AGUGAACGCUGGCGGUAGGCCUAACACAUGCAAGUCGAACGGCAGCACAGUAAGAGCUUGCUCUUACGGGUGGCGAGUGGCGGACGGGUGAGGAAUACAUCGGAAUCUACUUUUUCGUGGGGGAUAACGUAGGGAAACUUACGCUAAUACCGCAUACGACCUACGGGUGAAAGCAGGGGAUCUUCGGACCUUGCGCGAUUGAAUGAGCCGAUGUCGGAUUAGCUGGUUGGCGGGGUAAAGGCCCACCAAGGCGACGAUCCGUAGCUGGUCUGAGAGGAUGAUCAGCCGCACUGGAACUGAGACACGGUCCAGACUCCUACGGGAGGCAGCAGUGGGGAAUAUUGGACAAUGGGCGCAAGCCUGAUCCAGCCAUACCGCGUGGGUGAAGAAGGCCUUCGGGUUGUAAAGCCCUUUUGUUGGGAAAGAAAAGCAGCAGGUUAAUACCCCGCUGUUCUGACGGUACCCAAAGAAUAAGCACCGGCUAACUUCGUG
Molecule: ribosomal RNA, 492 nt
Filed under: uncultured bacterium
Lineage: Bacteria
Description: partial 16S ribosomal RNA
Rfam family: Bacterial small subunit ribosomal RNA
Source: RNAcentral